RNAcentral lists this ribosomal RNA (465 nucleotides) under uncultured bacterium. RNAcentral describes it as "bacterial SSU rRNA". It matches the Rfam family "Bacterial small subunit ribosomal RNA", at positions 28 to 507 of the family's 1533-position model. The record is from RNAcentral.
GACGAACGCUGGCGGCGUGCCUAACACAUGCAAGUCGAGCGAGGAGAGUUCCUUCGGGAACAAACCUAGCGGCGGACGGGUGAGUAACACGUGGGCAACCUGCCUUGUAGAGGGGAAUAGCCUUCCGAAAAGGAAGAUUAAUACCGCAUAACAUUACAGUUUCGCAUGAAACAGUAAUUAAAGGAGUAAUCCGCUACAAGAUGGGCCCGCGGCGCAUUAGCUAGUUGGUGAGGUAACGGCUCACCAAGGCGACGAUGCGUAGCCGACCUGAGAGGGUGAUCGGCCACAUUGGGACUGAGACACGGCCCAGACUCCUACGGGAGGCAGCAGUGGGGAAUAUUGCACAAUGGGGGAAACCCUGAUGCAGCAACGCCGCGUGAGUGAUAAAGGUUUUCGGAUCGUAAAGCUCUGUCUUCGGGGACGAUAAUGACGGUACCCGAGGAGGAAGCCACGGCUAACUACGUG